GACGAACGCUGGCGGCGUGCCUAACACAUGCAAGUCGAGCGGUAACAGGUGUAGCAAUACAUGCUGACGAGCGGCGAACGGGUGAGUAAUGCUUCGGAAUCUACCCAAUGGUGGGGAAUAACCAGCCGAAAGGUUGGCUAAUACCGCAUACGUCCCACGGGAGAAAGCAGGGGAUCGCAAGACCUUGCGCCAAUGGAUGAGCCGAAGUCGGAUUAGCUAGUUGGUAGGGAACGGCCUACCAAGGCGACGAUCCGUAGCUGGUCUGAGAGGACGACCAGCCACACUGGGACUGAGACACGGCCCAGACUCCUACGGGAGGCAGCAGUGGGGAAUAUUGGACAAUGGGGGAAACCCUGAUCCAGCGACGCCGCGUGUGUGAAGAAGGCCUGCGGGUUUGUAAAGGCAACUUUUUAGUGGGGAUGAAAUGUUCAGGGUUAACACC
This 442-nucleotide ribosomal RNA is filed under the name uncultured bacterium. RNAcentral's name for it is "bacterial SSU rRNA". It matches the Rfam family "Bacterial small subunit ribosomal RNA", at positions 28 to 469 of the family's 1533-position model. The record is from RNAcentral.